Molecule: ribosomal RNA, 491 nt
Filed under: uncultured bacterium
Lineage: Bacteria
Description: bacterial SSU rRNA
Rfam family: Bacterial small subunit ribosomal RNA
Source: RNAcentral
AGUGAACGCUGGCGGCAGGCCUAAUACAUGCAAGUCGAACGGCAGCACAGCAGAGCUUGCUCUGUGGGUGGCGAGUGGCGGACGGGUGAGGAAUACAUGGGAAUCUGCCCAGUCGUGGGGGAUAACGUAUGGAAACGUACGCUAAUACCGCAUGCGCCCUACGGGGGAAAGCCGGGGACCGCAAGGCCUGGCGCGAUUGGAUGAGCCCAUGUUCGAUUAGCUAGUUGGCGGGGUAAAGGCCCACCAAGGCGACGAUCGAUAGCUGGUCUGAGAGGAUGAUCAGCCACACUGGAACUGAGACACGGUCCAGACUCCUACGGGAGGCAGCAGUAGGGAAUAUUGGACAAUGGGGGCAACCCUGAUCCAGCCAUGCCGCGUGAGUGAAGAAGGCCCUCGGGUUGUAAAGCUCUUUUGUCCGGAAAGAAAAGCAAUCGGUUAAUACCCGGUUGUUCUGACGGUACCGGAAGAAUAAGCACCGGCUAACUCGUGCC